RNAcentral lists this ribosomal RNA (497 nucleotides) under uncultured bacterium. RNAcentral describes it as "partial 16S ribosomal RNA". It matches the Rfam family "Bacterial small subunit ribosomal RNA", at positions 28 to 507 of the family's 1533-position model. The record is from RNAcentral.
GAUGAACGCUGGCGGCGUGCCUAAUACAUGCAAGUCGAGCGAACGGACGAGAAGCUUGCUUCUCUGAUGUUAGCGGCGGACGGGUGAGUAACACGUGGAUAACCUACCUAUAAGACUGGGAUAACUUCGGGAAACCUGAGCUAAUACCGGAUAAUAUUUUGAACCGCAUGGUUCAAAAGUGAAAGACGGUCUUGCUGUCACUUAUGGAUGGAUCCGCGCUGCAUUAGCUAGUUGGUAAGGUAACGGCUUACCAAGGCAACGAUGCAUAGCCGACCUGAGAGGGUGAUCGGCCACACUGGAACUGAGACACGGUCCAGACUCCUACGGGAGGCAGCAGUAGGGAAUCUUCCGCAAUGGGCGAAAGCCUGACGGAGCAACGCCGCGUGAGUGAUGAAGGUCUUCGGAUCGUAAAACUCUGUUAUUAGGGAAGAACAUAUGUGUAAGUAACUGUGCACAUCUUGACGGUACCUAAUCAGAAAGCCACGGCUAACUACGUG